AAAAUAUCAGACUGAUAGUAUAUCCAAAAUACUUCAUUAAAAAUAUAAGUGCAUCAAGAAAUGGUAAACAAAAUAAAUAAAGAAAAGCAUUAUAGGCUUGACUUAUUAUUAUGAAGCCUUCCAUUUUCGUUCCAUUGAUUUUAAAAAUGCUUAAUUAAAAUGAACAAAGUUUCAGAAUCCAUCUACCAAAAAUUAAAGUCAUAACUCAUAAUACAAUGGCGAUGAGGAUUUUUCUACAAAGCAAUAAAGAAUAAACAAGGAUUGAAUUUUUAUUCAUUUAACUCUUAGAAACUUCCAGAGAUGCAUCAGUUAUCCAUCUUUAAAACGUGCUAAUAGCUAAUCAAAAUAUCACAAUAAUAAUAAUGAUAUUAUUGAAAGCAUGAUGCCAAAAUUGUCAUGACAAGGCCCAACUUACCAAAAUAGCCAUCAAGUGAUUAAAUAAAACAAGAACAAUGAAAGCUCAGUACGAAAACAACAAAUAAAAGUUCAUGGACAUGGAUAAAUCAAGGCUAAGGGAGGCUCAAGAAGCUACAGUAACACAGCUAAAUGCAUAUAUAGUCAGGAAACAUGUACUAAGAAACAUGAUAUAAAUUCAGACCUUGAUUGCAUUUUGAACACUGG
This 621-nucleotide unclassified non-coding RNA is filed under the name Hevea brasiliensis (rubber tree). Lineage: Eukaryota; Viridiplantae; Streptophyta; Magnoliopsida; Malpighiales; Euphorbiaceae. The record is from RNAcentral.